RNAcentral lists this ribosomal RNA (532 nucleotides) under uncultured bacterium. RNAcentral's name for it is "bacterial SSU rRNA". It matches the Rfam family "Bacterial small subunit ribosomal RNA", at positions 978 to 1509 of the family's 1533-position model. The record is from RNAcentral.
CUCUUGACAUCCAGAGAACUUGGCAGAGAUGCCUCGGUGCCUUCGGGAACUCUGAGACAGGUGCUGCAUGGCUGUCGUCAGCUCGUGUUGUGUAAAUGUUCGGGUUAAGUCCCGCAACGAGCGCAACCCCUAUCCUUGUUGCCAGCGAUUCGGUCGGGAACUCAAAGGAGACUGCCGGUGAUAAACCGGAGGAAGGUGGGGAUGACGUCAAGUCAUCAUGGCCCUUACGAGUAGGGCUACACACGUGCUACAAUGGCGUAUACAAAGAGAAGCGACCUCGCGAGAGCAAGCGGACCUCAUAAAGUACGUCGUAGUCCGGAUUGGAGUCUGCAACUCGACUCCAUGAAGUCGGAAUCGCUAGUAAUCGUAGAUCAGAAUGCUACGGUGAAUACGUUCCCGGGCCUUGUACACACCGCCCGUCACACCAUGGGAGUGGGUUGCAAAAGAAGUAGAUAGCUUAACCUUCGGGAGGGCGUUUACCACUUUGUGAUUCAUGACUGGGGUGAAGUCGUAACAAGGUAAGCGUACGUGU